UGAUAGGUCAGAGGUGGAAGCGCGGUGACGUGUGGAGCUGACUGAUACUAAUCGUUCGAGGACUUAACCAAA
Molecule: ribosomal RNA, 72 nt
Filed under: Robertmurraya kyonggiensis
Lineage: Bacteria; Bacillati; Bacillota; Bacilli; Caryophanales; Bacillaceae
Description: Bacillus kyonggiensis partial 23S ribosomal RNA
Source: RNAcentral